Acanthosepion pharaonis is the source of this 112-nucleotide non-coding RNA. The record is from the annotation of a GenBank genome assembly. NCBI's taxonomy places the organism in Eukaryota, Metazoa, Mollusca, Cephalopoda, Sepiida, Sepiidae.
UGGCCAUAUCAUAUUGAAACCACUGGUUCUCAUAUGAUCACCAAAGUUAAGCAAUGUUGAGCCUGGUCAGUACCUAGAUGGGUGACCACUUGGGAAUGCUAUGUGCUGUAAG